Molecule: ribosomal RNA, 468 nt
Filed under: uncultured bacterium
Lineage: Bacteria
Description: partial 16S ribosomal RNA
Rfam family: Bacterial small subunit ribosomal RNA
Source: RNAcentral
GACGAACGCUGGCGGCGUGCUUAACACAUGCAAGUCGAACGGAAAGGCCCUGCUUUUGUGGGGUGCUCGAGUGGCGAACGGGUGAGUAACACGUGAGUAACCUGCCCUUGACUUUGGGAUAACUUCAGGAAACUGGGGCUAAUACCGGAUAGGAGCUCCUGCUGCAUGGUGGGGGUUGGAAAGUUUCGGCGGUUGGGGAUGGACUCGCGGCUUAUCAGCUUGUUGGUGGGGUAGUGGCUUACCAAGGCUUUGACGGGUAGCCGGCCUGAGAGGGUGACCGGCCACAUUGGGACUGAGAUACGGCCCAGACUCCUACGGGAGGCAGCAGUGGGGAAUAUUGCACACUGGGCGGAAGCCUUAUGCAGCAACGCCGCGUGCGGGAUGACGGCCUUCGGGUUGUAAACCGCUUUCGCCUGUGACGAAGCGUGAGUGACGGUAAUGGGUAAAGAAGCACCGGCUAACUACGUG